GCGGCUCUACCCCAAUCGGCAGAGGGACCGGUCUCAGGUACCGGACGUUCCGGGUUCGAAUCCCGGGAGCCGCA
RNAcentral lists this transfer RNA (74 nucleotides) under Actinomadura parmotrematis. RNAcentral describes it as "Actinomadura sp. PM05-2 tRNA-Leu". It matches the Rfam family "tRNA". From Rfam's summary of the family: Transfer RNA (tRNA) molecules are approximately 80 nucleotides in length. Lineage: Bacteria; Bacillati; Actinomycetota; Actinomycetes; Streptosporangiales; Thermomonosporaceae. The record is from RNAcentral.